This 93-nucleotide small RNA is filed under the name Klebsiella pneumoniae. Its description in RNAcentral is "partial RtT sRNA". It matches the Rfam family "RtT RNA", at positions 40 to 130 of the family's 130-position model. Rfam says of the family: This family represents a bacterial cis-regulatory element known as RtT RNA. The exact function of RtT is unknown although it is thought that it may be involved in changing the cellular response in relation to amino acid starvation. Lineage: Bacteria; Pseudomonadati; Pseudomonadota; Gammaproteobacteria; Enterobacterales; Enterobacteriaceae. The record is from RNAcentral.
GGUUCGACUCGAGCGAAGCGAGAGAACGUUGCCGCAGGCAACGGCCCGAAGGGCGAGGCGCUUUAGCGCCGAGUAAUCCUUCCCCCACCACUU